RNAcentral lists this ribosomal RNA (253 nucleotides) under uncultured bacterium. RNAcentral describes it as "partial 16S ribosomal RNA". It matches the Rfam family "Bacterial small subunit ribosomal RNA", at positions 524 to 776 of the family's 1533-position model. The record is from RNAcentral.
UACAGAGGUCCCAAGCGUUGUUCGGAUUCACUGGGCGUAAAGGGUGCGUAGGCGGUCGGGUAAGUCUGAUGUGAAAUCUCUGGGCUCAACCCAGAAAUGGCAUUGGAUACUAUUCGGCUCGAGGUCUGGAGGGGGGACUGGAAUACUUGGUGUAGCAGUGAAAUGCGUAGAUAUCAAGUGGAACACCAGUGGCGAAGGCGAGUCCCUGGACAGAUCCUGACGCUGAGGCACGAAAGCUAGGGGAGCAAACAGG